GCUAUGAGAUAAUGUGAAGUCCAUAUUUUCCAACAGUUUGUCGUCGAUUGCUCAAUUUUGUGAUGCGUGUUCUUUCUGGGCGUUCUUUUUUUUUUUUUUGUGCAGAAACAUAUUCAUAGGAGGCUUGGCGAAGACCACCACCUUAGCAGCCCAGUGAUUGAGCGAAGGAGAAGAGGACGGAUUUGGGUCGGGGUUUGUUUUGGCUUCCUUUCUUUUGAUUUAAAAAGCUUCCAUUUGUCUCGUGGAAUUUUUAUUUUUAAUCUUUUAUUAAUUGAAUUCCAGCCAUCAAGGGGUACUCUGUGAUUCAAAGGCAGGAUCUGAUGCUUCGGACAGUAUCUUAACUAGGUGUGCUCUUUGAGAGAAACUGGGUUUAUAUCUAUCUCUCUGAUUCUUCUCUAUAAUUCAUGUAAUUGAACUUUGUGUAUUGAUUUCCGUGGUUUGAGCAAUGGCAGUGUUGGACGAUGGGAAUCAGACGCAGGGGAACAGUUUCAUAUAUGUGACUUUUGAUUUUCGAUUGUAAUGUUUAUUAGGUUUUAUUUUUUCCAUUAGUGUUUC
Rosa rugosa (rugosa rose) is the source of this 555-nucleotide long non-coding RNA. RefSeq lists it as uncharacterized. The record is from RefSeq and is a predicted model, not a curated record. Lineage: Eukaryota; Viridiplantae; Streptophyta; Magnoliopsida; Rosales; Rosaceae. The transcript is spliced from 2 exons.